CCUACGGGUGGCAGCAGUCGAGAAUCAUUCACAAUGGGGGAAACCCUGAUGGUGCGACGCCGCGUGGGGGAAUGAAGGUCUUCGGAUUGUAAACUCCUGUCAUGUGGGAGCAAAUUAAAAAGAGAGUACCACAAGAGGAAGAGACGGCGAACCCUGUGCCAGCAGCCGCGGUAAUACAGAGGUCUCAAGCGUUGUUCGGAAUCACUGGGCGUAAAGCGUGCGUAGGCUGUUUCGUAAGUAGUGUGUGAAAGGUGCGGGCUCAACCCGCGAACGGCAUAUGAUACUGUGAGACUAGAGUAAUGGAGGGGGAACCGGAAUGCUCGGUGUAGCAGUGAAAUGCGUAGAUAUC
This 349-nucleotide ribosomal RNA is filed under the name uncultured bacterium. RNAcentral describes it as "partial 16S ribosomal RNA". It matches the Rfam family "Bacterial small subunit ribosomal RNA", at positions 338 to 698 of the family's 1533-position model. The record is from RNAcentral.